AAGGAUCAUUACCGAGAGAGGGGCCUCGCGCUCCCGGGGGCUUCGGCCCCCAACUCUUCACCCGCUGCGUACCUACCUUUGUUGCUUUGGCGGGUUCCGGGCCGCCUCCCGGCCCGGACAGCGCCCGCCAGAGGCCCCUUCAAUUCCGUUCAUCAGUGACGUCCGAGCCAAAAAAAACACAAUAGCAAAAACUUUCAACAACGGAUCUCUUGGUUCCAGCAUCGAUGAAGAACGCAGCGAAAUGCGAUAAGUAAUGUGAAUUGCAGAAUUCAGUGAAUCAUCGAAUCUUUGAACGCACAUUGCGCCCCUCGGUAUUCCGGGGGGCAUGCCUGUUCGAGCGUCAUUACACCCCUCAAGCGUAGCUUGGUAUUGGGCCCUCGCCCCCGCGGCGUGCCCGAAAAUCAGUGGCGGCCCGGUGCGGCUUCGAGCGCAGUAAAUUUUCAUCCCGCUCCGAAGGCCCCCCCGCGGCCGGCCAGACAACCCCGCAACCAUCCAAUAAUUGACCUCGGAUCAGGUAGGGAUACCCGCUGAACUUAA
This 537-nucleotide ribosomal RNA is filed under the name Gowardia nigricans. RNAcentral's name for it is "eukaryotic LSU rRNA". The stretch from base 190 to 343 matches the Rfam family "5.8S ribosomal RNA". Lineage: Eukaryota; Fungi; Ascomycota; Lecanoromycetes; Lecanorales; Parmeliaceae. The record is from RNAcentral.